This 1372-nucleotide ribosomal RNA is filed under the name uncultured bacterium. RNAcentral describes it as "bacterial SSU rRNA". It matches the Rfam family "Bacterial small subunit ribosomal RNA", at positions 28 to 1381 of the family's 1533-position model. The record is from RNAcentral.
GAUGAACGCUGGCGGCGUGCCUAAUACAUGCAAGUCGAGCGAACGGACGAGAAGCUUGCUUCUCUGAUGUUAGCGGCGGACGGGUGAGUAACACGUGGAUAACCUACCUAUAAGACUGGGAUAACUUCGGGAAACCGGAGCUAAUACCGGAUAAUAUUUUGAACCGCAUGGUUCAAAAGUGAAAGACGGUCUUGCUGUCACUUAUAGAUGGAUCCGCGCUGCAUUAGCUAGUUGGUAAGGUAACGGCUUACCAAGGCAACGAUGCAUAGCCGACCUGAGAGGGUGAUCGGCCACACUGGAACUGAGACACGGUCCAGACUCCUACGGGAGGCAGCAGUAGGGAAUCUUCCGCAAUGGGCGAAAGCCUGACGGAGCAACGCCGCGUGAGUGAUGAAGGUCUUCGGAUCGUAAAACUCUGUUAUUAGGGAAGAACAUAUGUGUAAGUAACUGUGCACAUCUUGACGGUACCUAAUCAGAAAGCCACGGCUAACUACGUGCCAGCAGCCGCGGUAAUACGUAGGUGGCAAGCGUUAUCCGGAAUUAUUGGGCGUAAAGCGCGCGUAGGCGGUUUUUUAAGUCUGAUGUGAAAGCCCACGGCUCAACCGUGGAGGGUCAUUGGAAACUGGAAAACUUGAGUGCAGAAGAGGAAAGUGGAAUUCCAUGUGUAGCGGUGAAAUGCGCAGAGAUAUGGAGGAACACCAGUGGCGAAGGCGACUUUCUGGUCUGUAACUGACGCUGAUGUGCGAAAGCGUGGGGAUCAAACAGGAUUAGAUACCCUGGUAGUCCACGCCGUAAACGAUGAGUGCUAAGUGUUAGGGGGUUUCCGCCCCUUAGUGCUGCAGCUAACGCAUUAAGCACUCCGCCUGGGGAGUACGACCGCAAGGUUGAAACUCAAAGGAAUUGACGGGGACCCGCACAAGCGGUGGAGCAUGUGGUUUAAUUCGAAGCAACGCGAAGAACCUUACCAAAUCUUGACAUCCUUUGACAACUCUAGAGAUAGAGCCUUCCCCUUCGGGGGACAAAGUGACAGGUGGUGCAUGGUUGUCGUCAGCUCGUGUCGUGAGAUGUUGGGUUAAGUCCCGCAACGAGCGCAACCCUUAAGCUUAGCUGCCAUCAUUAAGUUGGGCACUCUAAGUUGACUGCCGGUGACAAACCGGAGGAAGGUGGGGAUGACGUCAAAUCAUCAUGCCCCUUAUGAUUUGGGCUACACACGUGCUACAAUGGACAAUACAAAGGGCAGCGAAACCGCGAGGUCAAGCAAAUCCCAUAAAGUUGUUCUCAGUUCGGAUUGUAGUCUGCAACUCGACUACAUGAAGCUGGAAUCGCUAGUAAUCGUAGAUCAGCAUGCUACGGUGAAUACGUUCCCGGGUCU